This 338-nucleotide long non-coding RNA is filed under the name Manihot esculenta (cassava). Its description in RNAcentral is "long non-coding RNA (MESC_LNC002128)". The record is from RNAcentral. Lineage: Eukaryota; Viridiplantae; Streptophyta; Magnoliopsida; Malpighiales; Euphorbiaceae.
UGGAUCUUCAUUUUCCAAACCUCUGAAUUUUCGAAGUAGGUGAAUUAAUCUGGUUUUAAGCUCAAAGGGGCUGUCAAAGGUGGAUAAGUGAUGCACUACGGUGCUUGAUCACCCACGGGUGUUGCUAGUUCGCGAAGAGUCCUUUCUUGUGCCAUUGGAGCUCUUACCUCAUCAUUUUUAGCUUUAAAUUAAGCAAGGACAGUAACUGGUUUAAGAGCAGCAGCUGCUACAUUUUCUGCCUAUUUAGGUGCUGCUGUGACUGCCUUUAUAGUAGUUGAUUCAGCUGCUGUUUUAGGGGAUGGUUCUGAAAUUUUUUUCAACAAAAAUUUUUGGUUUUU